UACGGGUGGUGCAAGCGUUGUUCGGAAUUACUGGGCGUAAAGGGCUCGUAGGCGGCCAACUAAGUCGGACGUGAAAUCCCCAGGCUCAACCUGGGAACUGCGUCCGAUACUGGAUGGCUUGAAUUCGGGAGAGGGAUGCAGAAUUCCAGGUGUAGCGGUGAAAUGCGUAGAUAUCUGGAGGAAUACCGGUGGCGAAGGCGGCAUCCUGGAACGAUACUGACGCUGAGGAGCGAAAGCCAGGGGAGCAAACGGG
Molecule: ribosomal RNA, 253 nt
Filed under: uncultured bacterium
Lineage: Bacteria
Description: partial 16S ribosomal RNA
Rfam family: Bacterial small subunit ribosomal RNA
Source: RNAcentral